This 693-nucleotide ribosomal RNA is filed under the name Coprinopsis cinerea. RNAcentral describes it as "eukaryotic LSU rRNA". The stretch from base 280 to 433 matches the Rfam family "5.8S ribosomal RNA". Lineage: Eukaryota; Fungi; Basidiomycota; Agaricomycetes; Agaricales; Psathyrellaceae. The record is from RNAcentral.
CUCCGUAGGUGAACCUGCGGAAGGAUCAUUAUUGAAUAAAUCUGACGUGGUUGUCGCUGGCUCCCCCGGGAGCAUGUGCACGCCCGUCACCUUUAUUUCUCCACCUGUGCACACACUGUAGGCCUGGAUACCUCUCGUCGCAAGGCGGAUGCGUGGCUUGCUGUCGCUUUCGAAAGAAGGCCGGCUUGCCAUGAAUUUCCAGGUCUAUGAUUUCUUACACACCCCAAACUGAAUGUUAUGGAAUGUCAUCUCAAGGCCUUGGUGCCUAUAAACCUAUACAACUUUCAGCAACGGAUCUCUUGGCUCUCGCAUCGAUGAAAAACGCAGCGAAAUGCGAUAAGUAAUGUGAAUUGCAAAAUUCAGUGAAUCAUCGAAUCUUUGAACGCACCUUGCGCUCCUUGGUAUUCCGAGGAGCAUGCCUGUUUGAGUGUCAUUAAAUUCUCAACCUCACCAACUUUGUUGUGUGCAGGCUUGGAUGUGGGGGUUGCAGGUCCACUCUCGUGGUCUGCUCCUCUGAAAUGUAUUAGUGGGUUGUGCCCCUAAUCUAUUGGUGUGAUAAUUAUCUACGCCGUGGAUUGGGUUGGUUACUUGAAGACCUGCUUCUAACCGUCCCUUGGACAACUUUUGACAAUUUUGACCUCAAAUCAGGCAAGACUACCCGCUGAACUUAAGCAUAUCAAUAAGCGGAGGAAA